This 449-nucleotide ribosomal RNA is filed under the name uncultured bacterium. RNAcentral describes it as "partial 16S ribosomal RNA". It matches the Rfam family "Bacterial small subunit ribosomal RNA", at positions 29 to 523 of the family's 1533-position model. The record is from RNAcentral.
AACGAACGCUGGCGGCAGGCUUAAUACAUGCAAGUCGAGCGGGCACUUCGGUGUCAGCGGCGCACGGGUGCGUAACGCGUGGGAACAUGCCCUUAGGUACGGAACAACACAGGGAAACUUGUGCUAAUACCGUAUAACAUCUCCGGAUCAAAGAUUUAUCGCCUAAGGAUUGGCCCGCGUUAGAUUAGGCAGUUGGUGGGGUAAUAGCCUACCAAGCCGACGACCUAUAGCUGGUCUGAGAGGAUGAUCAGCCACACGUGCACUGAGACACGGACCAGGCUGCUACGAGGGGCAGCAGGAAGGAAUAUUGGACAAUGGGCGAAAGCCUGAUCCAGCCAUGCCGCGUGAGUGAUGAAGGCAUUAGGGUUGUAAAGCUCUUUUAGAUGGGAAGAUAAUGACUGUACCAUCAGAAUAAGCCCCGGCUAAAUUCGUGCCAGCCGCCGCCGUAA